Molecule: ribosomal RNA, 171 nt
Filed under: Escherichia coli O157:H7 str. K2622
Lineage: Bacteria; Pseudomonadati; Pseudomonadota; Gammaproteobacteria; Enterobacterales; Enterobacteriaceae
Description: partial 23S ribosomal RNA
Rfam family: Bacterial large subunit ribosomal RNA (bases 1-153)
Source: RNAcentral
CAUCUAAGCACGAAACUUGCCCCGAGAUGAGUUCUCCCUGACCCUUUAAGGGUCCUGAAGGAACGUUGAAGACGACGACGUUGAUAGGCCGGGGGUGUAAGCGCAGCGAUGCGUUGAGCUAACCGGUACUAAUGAACCGUGAGGCUUAACCUUACAACGCCGAAGGUGUUU